Molecule: non-coding RNA, 148 nt
Filed under: Homo sapiens (human)
Lineage: Eukaryota; Metazoa; Chordata; Mammalia; Primates; Hominidae
Source: Rfam by way of RNAcentral
GCUGGGUGUGGUGGUGUGCACCUGUAGUCUUAGCUACUUGGGAGGCAGAGGUGGGAGAAUCGCUUGAGCCCAGGAGGUCAAGGCUGCAGUGGGUCGAACUAGUAUCACUGCACUCCAGCCUGAGUGACAGAGUGAGACCCUGUCUCAA